Molecule: ribosomal RNA, 440 nt
Filed under: uncultured bacterium
Lineage: Bacteria
Description: partial 16S ribosomal RNA
Rfam family: Bacterial small subunit ribosomal RNA
Source: RNAcentral
CCUACGGGAGGCAGCAGUCGGGAAUAUUGCGCAAUGGAGGAAACUCUGACGCAGUGACGCCGCGUGCAGGAAGAAGGUUUUCGGAUUGUAAACUGCUUUAGACAGGGAAGAAACAAGACAGUACCUGUAAAAUAAGCUCCGGCUAACUACGUGCCAGCAGCCGCGGUAAUACGGAGGAUGCGAGCGUUAUCCGGAUUUAUUGGGUUUAAAGGGUGCGUAGGCGGACUGUUAAGUCAGCGGUAAAAGCCCGGGGCUCAACCCCGGCGAGCCGUUGAAACUGGCUGUCUUGAGAUGUCGAGAGGUAUGCGGAAUGCGCAGUGUAGCGGUGAAAUGCUUAGAUAUCACGAAGAACUCCGAUUGCGAAGGCAGCCUACUAAACUGCCACUGACAUUGAUGCUCGAAAGUGUGGGUAUCAAACAGGAUUAGAUACCCGAGUAGUC